Molecule: small RNA, 362 nt
Filed under: Pan troglodytes (chimpanzee)
Lineage: Eukaryota; Metazoa; Chordata; Mammalia; Primates; Hominidae
Description: processed transcript
Source: RNAcentral
GGUAAAAGUGGUUUUCAUCCUCACACCAGUUUAAUGGACUGGACGUUAACUCUCUUGCUCAAGGUCACUCUGUGAGUGGAAGAGUGGGGAUAAAUCUGGUUCGUUUGGCAUCAGAGGCCAUGACUUUUCCUACCACAGAAGUAAUUUUCAAAGUAAGUCUCUGCCCUAGGCACAUCAGAUCACCUGGGGACCACUCCAGAGUGAGUAGACAAGACUUUGACAGGGGUGCCUAAUUUUUUUUUUUUUUUGAGAUGGAGUCUCGCUCUGUUGCCCAGGCUGGAGUUGCAGUGAGCUGAGGUGGUGCCACUACACUCCAGCCUGGGGGAGGGGGACAUAGCGAGACUCGAUCUCAAAAACAAAAC